RNAcentral lists this long non-coding RNA (6456 nucleotides) under Vitis vinifera (wine grape). Its description in RNAcentral is "long non-coding RNA (VVIN_LNC004489)". Lineage: Eukaryota; Viridiplantae; Streptophyta; Magnoliopsida; Vitales; Vitaceae. The record is from RNAcentral.
UCCAUAGCAUUUUAUGGGGAGAAGGAGCUUGACUGGGUUGGGUUUUCUGGCUAGGAGCUUGGGUAUUUUUUAGGGGCCAUGGUCUCGUGAACCCUGCAAAUUCCAUGAGUUGAGAGAUUAAGAAUGGAACUUUCUCCUUUAAUAAACUUAAUUUGAAAAUUAGGGUUUAAAAUAAUCCAAUCAGUUAAAUUAUGCUUAAAAGCUAUAUACUUAAUUGUUUUCUCAGAUGUGAAAACAACUUUUAAAAUUCCUUGGUUCAAAAUAUCAGUUUGAAAUUUUGAAAUGCAUAAAGGAAUGCUUAAAAUGUCAUUUAUAAUGAGAUUAUGAAUGAAUUGGGUACCUAAUAUCUUAGGUGCAUCAUCUAUUCUAACAAGAUUAAUUUCUUGAUCACAAAGAGUGAUGUUUUCAACAGGAUUAGCAAAUUCAAAAAGAAUUUCCUUAUCAAAAAGUUUUGUUCUUAUACCUUAGUUAUCUACCCACAAGGGAUAAAUAGAGCUUAAAAAGGGUAUUCCUAGAAUGGCUUUUUCCUUAAGAUCCUUAACAAGGAUAAAGGUUUGCUUAAUACAGAUGUCAUGGUUACGGAUAUGAACAUCUGUUAAUUUAUACUUAAUGGCAAGUCUUUUGCCAUUGGCUCCAAAUAGAGACUGACUAGUCUCUUCACAUAAAGGAAUAGGUACAAGACCUUCUUGAAGGCAAUUUUCAGCUGCUCCUGAAUCAAUCAAAGCAAUAAUAUCAAGGACAAAUUUAUCUUUGACUACUAUAGUAAGGGAGACUUCCCACCUCUGGAAGAUAACCCUACUCACAGUAUUCAAAAAAGUAUCUGUCUCAUUAUCAUUAACCUGAGAAGAUUCUGGAAUAUCCAUAUGGUUUUCUUGGUUGCCAAUUCUAUUGAUUUGAUCUUGGAGAUCCGAGAGACCUAAACUUAUGAAUUGUUUUAACUCCUUAAUCUCAUUUUUAUACUGCUUAACUUCUUCAUGAAGUUCCUUAAUGCUGACUUCCUUGGGAGACUGCUGGUCAAACCUGUUUAAGAUAUCAUUAAGGUUAUAAGGAUUAACAGUCUUCUUAGCUUCAACCUUAACAACAGAUUUCUUAAAAACUUCAUAAAGAUUUUGCUUAGUCUUUUCAUCUUCAACUUUUCUUAAAGUGUCUAGGAUAAAUUCCUGAUCUUGGCUUAUGACAUUUAUAGUUUUAGGACGACAAUUACAAUUACCUUUUAUACAUUCUACUUGGUCACUAGAAGAUUGGCUAGAAACUUCACCACUACUGUCUAGUUGAUUAAUGUCAUCUUCAUUAUCUGAAUCAGUCCUUGAUUUAGAGUCUGUGGAGUUUAACAUUACCUUACAAAGCAUAUUUUUUAGAUCAUCUGAGACACUUAAGUUAUUAAUUUUUUGCUUAACUCUACAAUCUUUUUUAUAAUGGCCAACUUUGCCACAUUUAAAACAGAUAAUUGGCUUGACAUCUAAAGGAGUUUCUACCUUUUUCUGGGUAUCUUUGUUGACCCUUCUUUGGAAGUGUCUUGACUGCUUAGUAUUAUUCAUCCUAUAAUUGUCAUGGGUACCUCUCUUACUGUGGUAAAACUUAUCUUUAUUAGGCUUCCUACUUGGUUUUUGCUUAGAGGGAGGCAUAGUUUCUUUUUGGCUGAAACCAAACUGGCUACAGAAUGAUCCAAAUUCAUUCUUGUAGAUUUUUUGUUCAUUCUUCAUUUGUUGCUUAAGCUUGGAGUCAUUGCACAACUUAAUCCCUUCAGCUGUGACAAUGCUUAUAAUUUCACCAUAGGUUAACUUAUCAUAAGGGAUUUGACCAUUAUACUGUUCCCUUAUGUUGAUCCUAAUUCUCUCAGAGAAAAGCUUGGGUAAUCCUGAGAUGAAUUUUUCUUUCCAAAAAGACUGGUUACAAUCUGAUCUUAGCAUGACUUUGGUUAGGAAGACUUCCUUAUACCACCUAAAAUCAUGAAGCUUGGGACACUUAAGGUUGGUUAAGAGAUCUGCAGUUUUAUCUUUAAUUUUUGCUGGAUCUCCAAUGAAGUGCUUGGAUAUUGAGUAGAUUAGAGUAGCCACUGCAUCCUCUAUAUCUUGGUCAUCUUCAUCCUUAACAACUUCACUAUUCUCAUUAAUCCUAUAGGCUUUAAGGAUACUAUUUCUAUCAUCAAAAGUGAGAUAAUUAUCCCACCAACCCUUAAGCUGACCUGUAAACCCAGCAACAAUGGUCUGAGCUACAGCAUGAUCUGGCAGUCUACAGCAUGAUCUGGCAGUCUAUUGUUUAAUUUAUAGGUUGUACUUACCAUGGUCAUUUCUUGAAGCUUAGUAAGUAUGUUAUACUCGGUCAUACCGUCUAUGUUCCAUUCAUAGAUAGUACCACUGGUGUAUGAGGCUUGAGUAUACUGAUUUCUUUCCUCAAACUGCAUGUCAGGAAAAGUGGGCUUAGUAUAGUAAUUCCUAGUCUUAAAGGCUUCUAAGUUGUUAAUAUCUUUUGAAAUAAUUUGAUUAUGGGGUUCCUCAAACAUCUUAAUUAGUUCAUCAGCUUCUUCUUCUGAACUAAUAUCACCUUUAACCAUAUUGAUUCUCUUAUGAGGCUGGACAGUUAAGGGAGCAACAAGAUUAUCCUUAAUCUUCUGAUUAAUCCUAUCAACAAAAAACUGGUUGAUUUAGGGAUUUUCCUGGAAUUCUUUAGAAAAUUCAAAGGACUUAGUUUUAUCAGUGCUCUUAGUGUUAUUAACACGCUUACAAGGAUAAUCUGGAUAUUCCUCUUGUUUGAAGAGUUCAAACCAAAUCCAAAACUUAAUAUUUUUCUUUUCUUGUCUUAAGUAGGCAUAGAAUUCUUCUUGGUAAAUGGCUCUAAUGACUUUAGGGAUAGUGCUAAAGAACCAAUCAUUUCUUUGCUUAUUGACUUCAGAAUAGAAGUCCUUUCUUAAGAGAUCUUUGUUGAUCUCAAAGUCCUCAUCACUUAGGCUUAUUGUGUUAAUCAUCUGGGAAUAGGUAGGAGACAUAACAGGGGACUCAUCCUGUUGGGAUUCCUGAGUAGACUCAUUUUCCUCAGAGUAAAAUGGUCUAGCCACAUUGGUGUAACUUCUGACACCUGUUAGCUUAAUGUUCUUAGGAUUUCCUGAGUUGGAUCCUUCUUCUUCCCUAGUGGUUCUAACUGGGAUGGAAGAGCUUGAAGCUCUAGAGGGUUCAUAAACAGAAACUCUAUGGCUGCUAGAAUGUCUGAAAGAUUUGAAGAAAUCGAGUUCUCCUCCUCCAUCUGGAUAUUGAACUAUUUGUUCAAUACUUUCAGAACGCUGUGCUAUGGCUGGAACAGCAUUAGCAAAAUGCCAAUUUUCAGAGAAAUCAACAUCUUUCCAUAAGAUCUUAUUGGGGAUGAUGAAAUCUGACUUAUCUAGCAUAUCUGAGUGAAAGUAAGUGGUCUCACCUUUAGGACUGGUGCAAAGAGCCCCAGAUCCAACGCUUGUGUUCAUGCUCUUAUAGGCAAACCUGGUUAUGAUUGAAACAGGACUGUUUCUUGGUUUGAUCUUAAAGUCAUGGGUCUUAAUAUGCAGGACAACGGAAUCUAAGAUGUCUACAUCUCUUAUUCUAACAGUGAAGUUAGGAUAGCAUUGGAAAUAAACUGGGCCAUCAUUCAGUCCAGCUUGGACUGCGCCUAUAAUAGAAUCUCGAUAUUCGAGAUGCCUAUUAUCCCUUAAACACAUGACAAUAGAGGUGUUUAAACCUAAUCUUGUCAAAGGCUUAGCUGCUACUUGAAUCAUACCAAAGUGUAUGAAAUUAUAGCCAUCUUUCUUAUGCUUUUCAACGGAUCUGUUAUCUAGAAGUCUUAUGACUUGAUCGUCUUGUUUUAAGCUGACUGACAUUUUAGAGGUCUUGAUGGUAUAAUCUGUGAAGAACUUAAAGGUUCCUUUCUUAUAAAUUUCUUAAUUAUACACCUUGGGUAACUUCCAAUCAUCUAAAUCAUUUUGGAUCUUAGGAUAAUUGAUCUCUUCACUGUUUACAACAGUAUCUUGAGAAUCACUGGAUCUCCUAGACAUGGUUCUGAAAAUUGAACUCAUUUUAGGGUUUUUGAACUAGAGCCUAAUAGCAGAUUGACAAACCUUAUGAGACGUCACCCCAACCCUCUUACAGCCUAACAAACGCCUAUCCACGGCUAAGAACGGCUCAACCGGCAGGGCUCGUGCUCCUAGGCACACUGCUACCUAUCCUAGGAUAGGCCAAGAACACCCAAAACAAGACCCAACUUCCCUCCCACAUGGCUCUGAUACCAUAGACACCCAAGACAAGGUCAUAUGCAAUGAAAACAGGAAUUAUGUCAUGAUUCAAAACAAAUAAGAGGGUUAGAAAUCAAACAUGAUUUCCAACAAAGAAAUUUAAAGAGAAGGAACCAAAAAACUUGUUAGUUCAUAAUAAGCUUAAAACCGACCAUGUAGGCGGUACAAAAUAAAAACAUAAACUUAAAAACAAAGCUUAAUUAAAACCGACCAUGUAGGCGGUAUAAGAACAUAAAAUGAAAUGAAAAUAAAACUUAAUUAAAAACCAUCCAUAUAGGAGGUAAUCAAAACAUACUUAUAUUAUACAUAAGGAGAAAUAUCUUACAAUGGACAAAGGUAGGAAAGCUUGAAGGGGUUACAUGAUGAGAGAGAAAGAAGAGAGAAGGGAGAGCAUAAGCUUAGGAGAGAAAUGGAGCAUAAAAAUGAACGUAAAUUGAACCUUUUUCACAAAUGAGGACCGACCCUCCUUAAAUAGGCAAAAAAUGAAUCUUGAAUAGUAACCAUGAACAGUAAACCCGUGCUUGAAUAGUGAAUAGUGAACAGUGAAUAGUAAGAUUCACUUUUAUACCGAAAACCCCUAAAAACCCUCUUUCGGCUGAGAAGACUUCUGGCAGGCUGCUUUAUAUUGUGUAGACACAUGCUUGCUGCUUUUGGUGCAGAAACUGCAGAGCUUGUAGAAUAUUCUUGUUGACCGGCCAUCAUGAGAAAUCAUGCUGGAAAAGCUUGUUGAAGAGGAUAAACUUGCAAGCUGAUAAUCAUGAAGCUUUGUAAUUUCUUAUUGGUGGAAGAAUACUUUCACAGUCGUCUCCAUUGUCGGGAAGGUAGCUUGUGGAGUCAUCAGACUCUGCAUAAGAAUUUUCUUGGGAGAAACUUGAGCUUCCUUCUUCAAGGAUUUUCUAGAAAUCUUGAGGGGUCUUAGCUACUGCGAGCAUGGCCUGUAACUGUUGCUUUUUAAGGAGAAACUGAGACAUAUCAUCACUGGCUGAAACUUGUGUGGGGUUCUGGAGGAAAUAUUGCUUGACUGUAUUAAUAGAUGCAUCAUUUUUUAAAGCAUCCCACCAUUUUGUUUUAAAGGUCCUUUCCAGAGAUGGAAAGACUGCUGAUUCAUCUGUAAUGAUAAUAUAGUCCCACUGGACUAUCCAAGCAAGGCCAAAUUUGCUGAAGAAGAAUAAUAAAGGGGGAAAAGCUUAAAGUUCUUUGGGGAUAACAAAAGAACUUCUGAAUAGCUCAAAGCCAUCCAGGAUGGGCUUGGGAAGAAUCUUAAUAGUCGGACCAUAAUAAUUCCACCAACUGUAGAACCAAAAUGGGAAAGAGGAAAGUUGAUUCUUAGAAGGAAAAUAGAACAUCCAUGAAUGAUGGAAGUCCCUGUUCUGGAUCAGAAAAGCAUUAAACCAUGCUCUCUGAUAAUCCCAAUAAUUAAAAAACCUUGGCUUUGAUGGUUCAGAAAAUUCCCUUAAAAGAUUAGGAUUUCCACCCCAUUGCUUGAUAAUAAGAAUCUUAUAGAUAUGGCAGGUGGAGAAUGCCAAACCCAUAUUGCUAAAUUUUUCUGCAUUAUGCUUAAUUUUAACAGAACCAGUUUCUGUAAGGACUGCUUCAUAAAACUCUCUUGUUCUUAAAAUAUCACCAGAGGGAUAAUGAAAAUUUUCUUGAAAAGCUUUUGCAGCAAUUUCUCUGGGGUUUUCAGAGAAAAAUUCUCUUUCAAUAACCAAAAGAGGUUGAUUUAAAUCAUUUUGCCAAUAUCUUGAUUUUGUUGAAAGAAGUGUGGGGUUGGCAGCCACCACAAUUUGCUUGUUUGAAAAAGAGGAGCUUGAUGCUAAUUCAUUUUGAGAGAGAUUAGCCUUAAUGACUUGCUUGAAGGUCUGAGACCUUGAAAUGGCUGGAUACUGAGUGGCUUUGACUGGAUUAGCUAGAUCUGAAUGAUCAUAGUACAAGGUCAUCAUCUUGUUAGGCAUAGGUUUAGAAGAAUGAAGCCUUGCUUCUUCUUCUUCAACUUGUUGGCUCCAUAGCAUUUUAUGGGGAGAAGGGGCUUGACUAGGUUGGGUUUUCUGGCUAGGAGCUUGGGUAUUCUUUUUAGGGGCCAUGGUCUCAUGAACCCUGCAAAUUCCACGAGUUGAGUGAUUAGGAAUGAAACUUUCUCCUUUAAUAAACUUAAUUUGAAAAUUAGGGUUUAAAAUAAUCCAAUCAGUUAAAUUAUACUUAAA